GACGAACGCUGGCGGCGUGCUUAACGCAUGCAAGUCGAACGGUAAGGCUCCAGCUUGCUGGGGUACACGAGUGGCGAACGGGUGAGUAACACGUGGGUGAACUGCCCUGCACUUCGGGAUAAGCCUGGGAAACUGGGUCUAAUACCGGGUAGGACCGCACCGUGAGGGUGGGGCGGAAAGUUAUUGCGGUGUGGGUGGGGCCCGCGGCCUAUCAGCUUGUUGGUGGGGUAAUGGCCUACCAAGGCGGCGACGGGUAGCCGGCCUGAGAGGGUGGACGGCCACAUUGGGACUGAGACACGGCCCAGACUCCUACGGGAGGCAGCAGUGGGGAAUAUUGCACAAUGGGCGGAAGCCUGAUGCAGCGACGCCGCGUGGGGGAUGACGGCCUUCGGGUUGUAAACUCCUUUCACCAUCGACGAAGGGUUUCUGACGGUAGAUGGAGAAGAAGCACCGGCUAACUACGUG
This 465-nucleotide ribosomal RNA is filed under the name uncultured bacterium. Its description in RNAcentral is "partial 16S ribosomal RNA". It matches the Rfam family "Bacterial small subunit ribosomal RNA", at positions 28 to 507 of the family's 1533-position model. The record is from RNAcentral.